CACAGGAAUUGCCAUGGGGUUUCACUAGGAGGGAAGUGUAUUACUGGGGCUGAGGAGCAGGAGCGAGGGACUAAAUACUGAAGGCAGUAAUAGAAGCAUGUUUUGGGAGUGGGGAUUCUCACUUUUUCUUGGACUGUUCUAGAAACCAUGAACUUGUGGCCAGCAAGCGGCAGCGAAGGAAGUUAUUUUCCAGUUUCCAUCACGAUCUCUGCCGUCUGCCCCGUUCUCACCUUCUUUCUCACCUGCAAAUGGAGAAAUAGAGCUGAAAAUAAAAAUCCCACACAUUCUGUUUCUGGGGAAAUGAUCCAGUGCUUAAUUUCACCCAGAAUUGGAAUAGAAAGUUGAAAUACCUCUUCUCCCCCUUGCCAUGGGAAAAGAAGCUCUGCAAACUCUUUGUUCAGAAUGAAUGAAACACUUAAUUGUGAAUCAUAUUGGAAUUCAUGUUAUUCAUCUUCAUCUUUGUCAUCUCCUGGGGGAGGUGAACACGCAGCUGGAGGUAUUACUGUGUGAAACUGGAGCUGUCCACAUAUUUGGGUCUGAGAGCGAGCAGACUAGAUCCAAGUUUGGGGUCCUUCUUCAACUCAUUUGUUGAGUCAUUCACCGCUAGCCAUUUCCUCCCAGAAAGGCAAGACUGACUUCCUGCAUGGAAGGAGAGCUGCUAAGAAAUAGUGAGACCAUGAGGAAAAGGCAAGGAGGUCUAAGCGAAUCAUCCUGCAAACUGGAUUCAGACUGUAGGUCCCCAGGUGAUCCAUUUUAAUGGUUUCUACUGUGACUGCUGUUCUGUCCAGGAUGGAGACUAACCCAGAAGGACUCCAGCUGAUUUUCUGGGAGGCCUGUGGCUGGCUGUGGGAUUCUUGGUCCUGCUUACAUCCACUCCUGGGCCACCUUCAAGUUGUCUGUGCUGUAUCUGAGCAACCUGGUUAGGCCUGGGAGGAAUACAUCCUCCCUCUUUCCUUCAAGUGUGGCCUCUCCUGUUCUGGGCGUGCAAUACUUCACGCCCCAGAAAUGCUUUGAAUUAGAUCAUGAGAUUUUUUCCCUGCUGUUUUCCAAAAACUGCUGUGAGGAAAUUUCAUAAAAUUAGAGAAUUGUUUGAGCUGGAAGGGACCUUUAAAGAUGAUCUAGUCCAGCUCCCCUGCAGUGAACAGGGACACCUGCAGCUAGAUCAGGUUGCCCAGAGUCCCAUCUAACCUGACCUUGAGUGUCUCCAAGGAUGGGGCAUCUACCAAAUUCUGUUGCAAUAGAGACAAGUGAAAAACAACAGUGAAAAACAAGACAAUGGACCCAUACAGAGUACACAAAACUCACAUAUAAACUGUUAUUGAAAAAGAUACAUUUCAAAGUAGAAUUUGACAGAGAAGAAAGCAAAUAUUCAAUCAACCACAGUAAGGUACUCUUCCAGUCUAGUGGGCUGUCUAAUGAUCUGUUAUCAGAGCAGAGUCAAUGUGAAACAGGUACUAACACAUUUUUCUCUAUUUGUGGUGACAUGAAGAAUAAUCUGGUCCUUAAAAUGAAUGAGAUUCUUUUAAUAAAACUGGAUGUUGCUGCA
RNAcentral lists this long non-coding RNA (1546 nucleotides) under Numida meleagris (helmeted guineafowl). RNAcentral's name for it is "lncRNA (ENSNMEG00000011559.1)". The record is from RNAcentral. Lineage: Eukaryota; Metazoa; Chordata; Aves; Galliformes; Numididae.